CUUUCAACAACGGAUCUCUUGGUUCUGGCAUCGAUGAAGAACGCAGCGAAAUGCGAUAAGUAAUGUGAAUUGCAGAAUUCAGUGAAUCAUCGAAUCUUUGAACGCACAUUGCGCCCCCUGGCAUUCCGGGGGGCAUGCCUGUUCGAGCGUC
Molecule: ribosomal RNA, 151 nt
Filed under: Ostropa barbara
Lineage: Eukaryota; Fungi; Ascomycota; Lecanoromycetes; Ostropales; Stictidaceae
Also listed under: 1 other name
Description: 5.8S ribosomal RNA
Rfam family: 5.8S ribosomal RNA
About the family: 5.8S ribosomal RNA (5.8S rRNA) is a component of the large subunit of the eukaryotic ribosome. It is transcribed by RNA polymerase I as part of the 45S precursor that also contains 18S and 28S rRNA.
Source: RNAcentral